This is a long non-coding RNA of Sycon ciliatum, 773 nucleotides long. RefSeq lists it as uncharacterized. Lineage: Eukaryota; Metazoa; Porifera; Calcarea; Leucosolenida; Sycettidae. The transcript is spliced from 4 exons. The record is from RefSeq and is a predicted model, not a curated record.
CGAAACGAAUAGUUUGGCGGUUCUCGUUGCGAAGUCAGUGGUCCCUUUCCAGCCGCGCAAGGAGUGCUAGUUCUAUAUAAUCCUGUGUGUGCCUGGCAGAUCAGGCAGAUGAUAUGAUGAUUAUGUGCACGCCUGCGGAUGAAUGAAACAUUUGAAAGACAAAGUGAUCGUUGUGAGCAGAUCGAUAACGCCAUAUCGACUCUACCAGUGAAACGUGGACACAGCACAUGCUGUGGAUGCCGCAUUCCCAGUUACGGUUGCGAGCACUACCGGGACGCAAGCCACCCUGCGGGUCGCGACACGGCAUCACACGCAGUCUCUGCAGUGAGUGCUGCGCAGUGUGCUGUGAAUCAGGGCCGAGACGCUACGUGGCAGUGGCUUGACGUGGUGCUAGCCCUAGCUAGUACAUUGUAUCCACCCGAGAACACAAGCACAGUAGAUCUACUACUAGCACUCCAGCCAGUCCUGGAACAUUGCUCUGACUUUAGCCACCAAGCCAGCCAACCUGGGGAGAUGAGCAACAUCAGCGCCCACCGCCUCAGUCAAUCUUCGCCCGCCAAGCCGACUGGUUUAGCACCCUGGCAACAGGAGCUUCAGGCAAAAAGGGACAAAAGUAACACCAGUGCCCGCCCCCUCAGUCAACCUUCGCCCGCCAAGCCGACUGGUUUAGCACCCUGGAGAGAGGAGCUUCAGACAAAAAGGGACAAAAGCAAAUCCAGUGCCCGCCCCCUCACUCAACAUUCGCCCGCCAAGCCGACUGGUUUAGCACCUUA